This is a non-coding RNA of Heterocephalus glaber (naked mole-rat), 1002 nucleotides long. Lineage: Eukaryota; Metazoa; Chordata; Mammalia; Rodentia; Bathyergidae. The record is from RefSeq and is a predicted model, not a curated record.
ACGUAGGUAAACAGUAUUCUAAAAUUAAUUUCUUAAAAUGUCCAAUAUCAGAACAUGGUCAUCGAACAAGAAGUGCUAGCAAGGCUUAUGAAAUUCUACAAUCUAAGGAUUGAGAUCUGCUACUAAAAGUAAUUCUUUCUUAGCAAUAUCAAGUAUAAUAGAAAGAGACCAGAAUACCAAAUUUUAUUUUGAAUCUGUUGUGUGUUAAAAUGGCCACUUACAUAACUCAACAUUCCCCUUCUUGGAAUGACCCAUCAAUUUCUAAAAGAAAACAGUGAUGUUGUUAUUGUCAUGCUGACUAGCAGCAUCUCAUAACUCCUUUACAGGCCUGAGCUCUGGAACCAGAAGGCAGGAAUUCCAAUCCCAGCCCCACCCUCCACUGAUGAUGGAACACUUGGCAAUUUAACUGCUUACUCAGUGCCUGCCUUUCCACCUAUAAAACAAGAUACAGUCCCUGCCUCACAGAACUGCUACAUGAAUUAAUUGGGUUAGCAUAUGUAAAGUGCUAGGAUGAUGCUCGCUCAGUAAAUGUCAGUUAGGGUUCAGCCGAGCCCUGAGAGCUGUGCUGAGCGAAGAGUCCUGGAACUGGUGCUGGGGACCAUUGGACAGGUCAAGUUUCCCUAAGUUGCUGGGGCUAGCCUUGAGCUUGAGAUCUUCCUACAUCAGCCUCCCCAGAAGCUGGAUCAAGGGCAUCCACCACCAUACCAGGUACUCAGGAAAUGCUAGGACCUGGAGAAGCCAUUCUCAAGUGACAUCCUAGAUCCAGUUAACAAAGGCCAACAACCACUGCUGCUCAUUCAGGAAUAAUAGCAAAUAAUUUUUCCAGAAAAUGGCUUUGGUUCAUAAAAGUCUCCUGACAUUCAAAGGUAGACUAUUUUUACUUCAGUACUUUGUCCUUUGGUAAGUGCUACAGAUUCCAUUCUGUGACUGAUAAUUUUGAAACAGAGACAGGUGAUUUAUUAUACACAUUGCUCUGGAAGCUUGCUCAAACUCAGAGAUGCU